GACAUUUUGAUGUAUCAAAAGAUCUUUUUACACAGGUCCAGGAGGCUGCAAGUGGAAGCAUUUUUGUCCAGAUGCCAGAUGUGUGGAUAAAUUUGGCACAUGUUUAUUUUGCUCAAGGCAAUUUUGCAUUAGCUGUGAAGAUGUAUCAAAAUUGUCUGCGCAAGUUCUAUUAUAAUACAGACUCUCAAAUUCUCCUCUAUUUGGCCCGUACACAUUAUGAAGCUGAACAGUGGCAGGACUGCAAGAAAACUUUACUAAGAGCUAUCCACUUGGCACCUUCAAAUUACAUACUAAGGUUUGAUGCAGGAGUUGCAAUGCAAAAAUUCUCAGCAUCUACACUACAAAAGACGAAGAGAACAGUAGACGAG
Molecule: unclassified non-coding RNA, 368 nt
Filed under: Hevea brasiliensis (rubber tree)
Lineage: Eukaryota; Viridiplantae; Streptophyta; Magnoliopsida; Malpighiales; Euphorbiaceae
Source: RNAcentral